AAAGCUCUUUGGUUAAUGCGGUUUGUGAGGGAGAAGUAUACAGAGUUGGGAGAUUCCACAUGUUUUCUCACCUACCUUUUUGAAGUCUAAAAAUUCUAUCAUCUAGGUUACUGAUGCUGAGAAUUUUAGGUUUUUUCAAUGUCAAGAUAUGAGUCGAUUUAGAGAAUAAUAUUAUCUUCUUUUAAGGUGAGCAAAGAAAUUUCCAUUUAAUUCUGGAAUGAUCAUUGAUGCAGAAAUCACCUCUUUAACCAAUUCCAGGUGCUAUUAUUGAAGCGUUCAGAUUGGGAUCUUCCAUUAGCAAUUACUUAUUAUGAUAACCAGGUGACAUGGGCAUGGCAGUAGGAACCCAAGACAGUAAUAUGAAGAUGGUCUUGGAUUUUAAGAAAACCUUUUCAAACCAAAGUGCCGUAAGGAAAGGAGGAUAAAACAAGAUAUAGAUAGGUGUCAACAAAGAAGAGGGAUUAUGAUGCAAAAUCCUUUUAGAACAAUAUAUUAGAGAGGUGAAGUGCAAGAACAGUUUUCUUUUCCAUGGAGCCCUAUUUAGAGAAUGAAAGUGCCUACAAAAUAUCCUUCUUCACUUGGGAAAGCUAUCUGGGAAAAUUUUCACAGUUGAAAAAUUGAUGAACACAUCUAGUAAAUGUAUGCUUGCAUCGUAAAAAGCAAGGUAAGUCAGAAAAAUUGCUUCUUCAUUCAGAUUGAGUGGGCCAGCUUACUCCUAAGCAUAUCAGCAGUAUUCCCCCUUUGAUGUUCUUAUUAACAUGGCUUUUAGUUUCAAAAAUAGUUACAUAAUGUUAAAAUAAAAGCAUGUAAAAAACCUGAAGAACAAACACAAUUUACCGAAUGAGUAAUAUUCUCAAGAGA
This 861-nucleotide unclassified non-coding RNA is filed under the name Hevea brasiliensis (rubber tree). Lineage: Eukaryota; Viridiplantae; Streptophyta; Magnoliopsida; Malpighiales; Euphorbiaceae. The record is from RNAcentral.